This is a small nuclear RNA of Otolemur garnettii (small-eared galago), 105 nucleotides long. The record is from Ensembl. Lineage: Eukaryota; Metazoa; Chordata; Mammalia; Primates; Galagidae.
GUGCUCCCUUCCACAGCACAUACACUAAAGUUAGGAUGAUGCAGAGGAGAUUCGCAUGGCCCGCACAAGGAUGACACGCAAGUUGGUGAAGCGCUCCAUAUUUUU